CCUCCGGGCGUCAGCAGUGAGGAAUAUUGGUCAAUGGGCGCGAGCCUGACCCAGCCACGUAGCGUGAAGGAUGACUGCCCUACGGGUUGUACACUUCUUUUAUCAAGGAAUAAAGUGAGGCACGUGUGCCUUUUUGUAUGUACUUUCUGAAUAAGGAUAGGCUAACUCCGUGCCAGCAGCCGCGGUAAUACGGAGGAUUCGAGCGUUAUCCGGAUUUAUUGGGUUUAAAGGGAGCGGAGAUGGGUUGUUAAGUCAGUUGUGAAAGUUUACGGCUCAACCGUAAAAUUGCAAUUGAUACUGGCAGUCUUGAGUACAGUUGAGGUAGGCGGAAUGCGUGGUGUAGCGGUGAAAUGCUUAGAUAUCACGAAGAACUCCGAUUGCGAAGGCAGCUUACUAAACUGCCACUGACAUUGAUGCUCGAAAGUGUGGGUAUCAAACAGGAUUAGAUACCCUGGUAGUC
RNAcentral lists this ribosomal RNA (460 nucleotides) under uncultured bacterium. RNAcentral's name for it is "partial 16S ribosomal RNA". It matches the Rfam family "Bacterial small subunit ribosomal RNA", at positions 338 to 795 of the family's 1533-position model. The record is from RNAcentral.